CCUACGGGAGGCAGCAGUAAGGAAUAUUGGUCAAUGGACGAAAGUCUGAACCAGCCAUGCCGCGUGGAGGAUGAAGGUCUCUGGAUUGUAAACUUCUUUUAUGGGGGACGCGGUACCCUAUGAAUAAGCACCGGCUAACUCCGUGCCAGCAGCCGCGGUAAUACGGAGGGUGCAAGCGUUAUCCGGAUUCACUGGGUUUAAAGGGUGCGUAGGCGGGCAGGUAAGUCAGUGGUGAAAUCUCCGAGCUUAACUCGGAAACUGCCUUUGAUACUAUCUGUCUUGAAUAUUGUGGAGGUAAGCGGAAUAUGUCAUGUAGCGGUGAAAUGCUUAGAGAUGACAUAGAACACCUAUUGCGAAGGCAGCUUACUACCAAUAUUGACGCUGAGGCACGAAAGCGUGGGGAUCAAACAGGAUUAGAUACCCUUGUAGUC
Molecule: ribosomal RNA, 431 nt
Filed under: uncultured bacterium
Lineage: Bacteria
Description: partial 16S ribosomal RNA
Rfam family: Bacterial small subunit ribosomal RNA
Source: RNAcentral